Molecule: ribosomal RNA, 253 nt
Filed under: uncultured bacterium
Lineage: Bacteria
Description: partial 16S ribosomal RNA
Rfam family: Bacterial small subunit ribosomal RNA
Source: RNAcentral
UACAUGGGGUGCAAACGUUGCUCGGAAUUAUUGGGCGUAAAGCGCACGUAGGCGGCUUUUUAUGUCGGAUGUGAAAGCCCCCGGCUUAACCGGGGAAGUGCAUCCGAAACUGGAAGGCUUGAGUACGAAAGAGGGUCGCGGAAUUCCCGGUGUAGAGGUGAAAUUCGUAGAUAUCGGGAGGAACACCUGUGGCGAAGGCGGCGACCUGGGUCGAUACUGACGCUGAGGUGCGAAAGCGUGGGGAGCAAACAGG